Molecule: ribosomal RNA, 960 nt
Filed under: Dysgonomonas sp. 37-18
Lineage: Bacteria; Pseudomonadati; Bacteroidota; Bacteroidia; Bacteroidales; Dysgonomonadaceae
Description: bacterial SSU rRNA
Rfam family: Bacterial small subunit ribosomal RNA
Source: RNAcentral
AUACAAAGAAGAGUUUGAUCCUGGCUCAGGAUGAACGCUAGCGACAGGCCUAACACAUGCAAGUCGAGGGGCAGCACAAGGGUAGCAAUACUCUGGUGGCGACCGGCGCACGGGUGAGUAUCGCGUAUGCAACCUACCUACCACAGGGGGAUAGCCUUCCGAAAGGGAGAUUAAUACCGCAUGAAACAGGGGUCCCGCAUGGGGAUAUUUGUUAAAGAUUUAUCGGUGGUAGAUGGGCAUGCGUUCCAUUAGCUAGUUGGCGGGGUAACGGCCCACCAAGGCGACGAUGGAUAGGGGAACUGAGAGGUUUAUCCCCCACACUGGGACUGAGACACGGCCCAGACUCCUACGGGAGGCAGCAGUGAGGAAUAUUGGUCAAUGGGCGGGAGCCUGAACCAGCCAAGUCGCGUGGAGGACGACGGUUCUAUGGAUUGUAAACUCCUUUUGCACUGGGGUAAAACGGGGGACGUGUCCCCCCUUGCAAGUACAGUGCGAAUAAGCAUCGGCUAACUCCGUGCCAGCAGCCGCGGUAAUACGGAGGAUGCGAGCGUUAUCCGGAUUUAUUGGGUUUAAAGGGUGCGUAGGCGGCCCCUUAAGUCAGCGGUAAAAUUUCUGCGCUCAACGCAGUCUGGCCGUUGAAACUGGGGGGCUUGAGUCUGGAUGAAGUGGGCGGAAUUUGUAGUGUAGCGGUGAAAUGCUUAGAUAUUACAAGGAACUCCGAUUGCGCAGGCAGCUCACUAAGCCAUCACUGACGCUGAAGCACGAAAGCGUGGGUAUCAAACAGGAUUAGAUACCCUGGUAGUCCACGCAGUAAACGAUGAUCACUCGCUGUCUGCGAUAUACAGUAGGCGGCUUAGCGAAAGCGUUAAGUGAUCCACCUGGGGAGUACGCCGGCAACGGUGAAACUCAAAGGAAUUGACGGGGGCCCGCACAAGCGGAGGAACAUGUGGUUUAAUUCGA